Molecule: ribosomal RNA, 305 nt
Filed under: uncultured bacterium
Lineage: Bacteria
Description: bacterial SSU rRNA
Rfam family: Bacterial small subunit ribosomal RNA
Source: RNAcentral
UUAUCCUACGGGGGGCAGCAGUGGGGAAUAUUGGACAAUGGGGGGAACCCUGAUCCAGCGCCGCCGCGUGCGUGCCGAAGUAUUUCGGUAUGUAAAGCUCUAUCAGCAGGGAAGAAAAUGACGGUACCUGACUAAGAAGCCCCGGCUAACUACGUGCCAGCAGCCGCGGUAAUACGUAGGGGGCAAGCGUUAUCCGGAUUUACUGGGUGUAAAGGGAACGUAGACGGUGCAGCAAGUCUGAUGUGAGAGGUCGGGGCCCAACCCCGGGACUGCAUUGGAAACUGUUGAACUGGAGUACAGGAGAG